RNAcentral lists this ribosomal RNA (448 nucleotides) under uncultured bacterium. Its description in RNAcentral is "partial 16S ribosomal RNA". It matches the Rfam family "Bacterial small subunit ribosomal RNA", at positions 29 to 523 of the family's 1533-position model. The record is from RNAcentral.
AACGGACGCUGGCGGCAUGCCUAACACAUGCAAGUCGACGAGAUCUUCGGGUCUAGUGGCGCACGGGUGCGUAACGCGUGGGAAUCUGCCCUUUGGUUCGGAAUAACAGUUGGAAACGACUGCUAAUACCGGAUGAUGACGAAAGUCCAAAGAUUUAUCGCCAGAGGAUGAGCCCGCGUAGGAUUAGCUAGUUGGUGUGGUAAAGGCGCACCAAGGCGACGAUCCUUAGCUGGUCUGAGAGGAUGAUCAGCCACACUGGGACUGAGACACGGCCCAGACUCCUACGGGAGGCAGCAGUGGGGAAUAUUGGACAAUGGGCGAAAGCCUGAUCCAGCAAUGCCGCGUGAGUGAUGAAGGCCUUAGGGUUGUAAAGCUCUUUUACCCGGGAUGAUAAUGACAGUACCGGGAGAAUAAGCUCCGGCUAACUCCGUGCCAGCAGCCGCCGUAA